AACGAACGCUGGCGGCGUGCUUAACACAUGCAAGUCGAACGCGAAAGGGACUUCGGUCCUGAGUAAAGUGGCGCACGGGUGAGUAACGCGUGGAUAAUCUACCCAAUGGACUGGGAUAACAUCUCGAAAGGGGUGCUAAUACCGGAUAAGACCACGGAGUCUUUGGAUUCUGCGGUAAAAGGUGGGGACCUUAGGGCCUACCGGCAUUGGAUGAUUCCCCGUACCAUUAGCUAGUUGGUGGGGUAAGAGCCUACCAAGGCAACGAUGGUUAGCUGGUCUGGGAGGAUGAUCAGCCACACUGGAACUGAGACACGGUCCAGACUCCUACGGGAGGCAGCAGUGGGGAAUUUUGCGCAAUGGGGGAAACCCUGACGCAGCAACGCCGCGUGAGUGAUGAAGGCCUUCGGGUCGUAAAGCUCUGUCAGAGGGAAAGAAGUGUAUUGUGGUUAAUACCCAUGAUACUUGACGGUACCCUCAAAGGAAGCACCGGCUAACUCCGUGCCAGCAGCCGCGGUAA
Molecule: ribosomal RNA, 517 nt
Filed under: uncultured bacterium
Lineage: Bacteria
Description: partial 16S ribosomal RNA
Rfam family: Bacterial small subunit ribosomal RNA
Source: RNAcentral